Molecule: long non-coding RNA, 7541 nt
Filed under: Sus scrofa (pig)
Lineage: Eukaryota; Metazoa; Chordata; Mammalia; Artiodactyla; Suidae
Description: lncRNA (ENSSSCG00005031181.1)
Source: RNAcentral
CUCCGCUUUGGCAACCACAGGUUUCUGCUCAUGUCUGUAAGUCUGUUUCUGUUUUGUAGAUAGGUUCAUUUAUGCCAUAUAAACAUGUGUGUGUGUGUGUGUGUGUGUGUGUGUGUAUUUGCCCUUUUUUUUGAGAGCCACACCUGCAGCAUAUGGAAGUUCCCAGGCUAGGGGUUGAAUUGGAGCUGCAGCCGCUGGCCUACACCACAGCCACAGCAACUCAGGAUCUGAGCUGUAUCUGCAACCUACACCACAGCUCGUGGCAGCGCUGGGUCCUUUACCCACUGAGUGAGGCCAGGGAUUAAACCCACGUCCUCAUAUAUACUAGCUGGGUUCAUAACCCGCUGAGCCACAAUGAGAACUCCCCAUUUAUGCCAUAUUUUAGAUUCCACAUAAAAGUGAUGUCAUAUGGUAUUUGUCUUUCUCUUUCUGACCUACUUCACUUAGUAUGAGAAUCUCUAGUUGCAGAUGUGUUGGUGCAAAUGGAAUUACUUCAUUCUUUCUUAUUGAAGCAGACACUUCUGAUUUAUCAUCUUAAACAACGCUGCCCUCCUGCAGAUAUGCGUUUAGAACGUUUUUCCCUCUGGGGUCCUUUAAAAUGCAGCUCUCCAGACACCAUCCUCAGAGACUUCCAAAUUGGCAGGUCUGGGCAAGGUGCAGGAAUCUGCCCAAGAAUUUUUAAUUGUAGAAAGGUGUGCUUGCUCAAAGUCUAGUAAAUAAGCAUCGAUAUGAAAAACCGAGGUUGCCCAGCCUUUGCCCACAUCCCUGCAGCAAAUAUUUUACCUCUUUGAACUGAUCGUUUAGAUUUUUUUCUCUACAGCUUAAAAUGACAAGCUUGUAUGAUUUCUGCGUGAUUUUUCAGUUUUUAGAUUGCUUAUGGACUUUAUAUUGUGCGAAACAAGGAUUUAGUCUCCUCUCUAAUGCCCCUCACCACACAGAACCCUCUUCCCAUCCUCUGAGUACCAUUCUAUCCUAAUUUUGCCUGGGUCAACAUUCAGUAUUUACGUUGUCAUGACUGUGAAUGUGCUAAUCAUAACUGAACUGAGCUAUGACUAUUUUUCCUUUCCUGCACCAUUUUUUUUUUCUGGAGUUUGUUAUCACCUCUUUAGUUUGGUUGCUAGCAUCUCAGCUUCACUAAAUCCUUUACCACUGGUCCAUCACCGUUCCAGCCUCUAAGACUUUCUAGCCAUUGUCCUCUCUCCUGGAGAGAAAAAAAUAUCCCUUUACUAUAGUUCUAGCAGAUUUAGGGGAGGCUGAGAGUGGUUUUUUUUUUAAGCUUCACCCUUGUCACAUGGAAGUGCCUGGGCCAGGGAUUGAACCCACAUCACAGCAGUGGCAAUGCUGGAUCCUUAACUCUUAGGCCACCAGGGAACUCCUUGGGAGAAGGCUGUGAAAGUAACUAUAUUUUCUCCCAGUCUGUGGCUUGUCUUUUCACACUUUCUUAAUAGUGUCUUUGAAAGUGCAAAAGUUUUGAAUUUUAAAAAAAGCCAACUUAUCAAUUUUUUCUUUUAUCCUGUCCUAUUGCUGUGUAUGAAAAAAUAUAUAUAUAUAGUUUGUGUGUAUGUAUAUCUUCUAAGUGUGACAGACAGAGAUUGCAUUGGAUGUGGGGGAAAGAAAGGGAAGAAUCAAGGAUGAUUAAAAUGGGAGUUCCUUUUGUGGCUCAGUGCCUAACGAACCCGACUAGGGUCCAUAAGGACGCAGGUUCGAUCCCUGGCCUUGCUCAGUGGGUUAAGGAUCAGGUGUUGGCGUGAGUUGUGGUGUAGAUCGAAGACGUGGCUCGAAUCCCGCGUUGCUGUGUGUGGUGUAGGCUGACAGCUGUAGCUCUCAUUCAACCCCUAGCCUGGGAACUUCCAUACGCCUCGGGUGUGGCCCUAAAAAGAUGAAAGACAAAAAAAAAAAAAAGAGUGAUUAAAAUGUAAAAUGUUUUUGGCUGAGCAAGUGGCAGGGUGAUGUUGCCAUCACCUGAGAUGGGGGAAGACUAUAGGAGCAGCAGGUUGAGGGGUCGGGGAACCUCUGUUUUGAACACACUGAGUGUGAAUUUGUCUGUUAGAAAUCCAUGGGGAUAUGCGGAGAGGCAGGGGGGAGCCGGAGCUUGGGGGCACAUUCAGCUCCUGGCUGAGAUGGCUGUGUGAGCCCAGAGAGAGGGGGCGGGGAACCAAGGCUGGGGACUGGACCUUGAGGGACACCUAGCAAGGACAUUCAGGAGUAGUAGCCAGGGAGGAAUCGUCCUCACCUUCAGCUUCCUUGUAUAACUAGGCAUUAGUAGUUAAUUGCCCUUCCCUCCCAGGGCGGGCGAGGCCUCUGGGCGAUGGCUGGCGGAGGCACAUCCCCGAGCCGGCAGGCUUGUGCAACAGGCUUGGCCCCGAAAGGGGAGGCCUUGGACAGCCUCAGGGACAGAGCCUGGCUGAAGACUGUGACUAAGGAGGGUGAGCAUUUCAAGUCCUUGUAAUUGUGCUCUUAAACGGAAAUGUGGCCUCAUUUUACACUCCUGAGCCCUAAAGCCCUCUCAGGGGCUUGGAGCCCAGGGAAGAGAUGCAGGUUUGCUGCAUUUUAGCCUCCAUAAUGGGGCUAAGGGUUGCAGGUCUGUAACUAACCAUGGGAAGUAGUGUCUGUCGGUAGCCCCCUGCCCUCCCAGGCACUCAACCAGCCACGCACCUGCCUCAGCCUACUCCCGUCAAAGGGAAGAGAAAUGUCAGCAGAAAAGGACAGUCAUCUCUGCUCAAAUGGUGGCAUUUGGGAGCCUACAGUUAUCAGGGUGGGUGUUGUGCUUAUGGGGUGGAGAUGGCACAAGGGAACCUUUUCAAGUCUUUGCCUUCUGCCUGAGACUGGGUGAGUGCUGUGUCUGUUUCCUGUAAAACAAGUCCUCCCGGGAUAUUAAAUCCAGCUUGAGGAAGAUCUCUCUAUCCAUUAAAUUGGCUCAUUUAAUUCAACAAUGAGCCACAAGGCUUUCGGAGCUGUGAGUGGAGAGGGCGCCCAGUCCAAUGUGGGAGGCAGAGGAGGAAACCAAGUGUUUCAAAGCAGGGAUGUCAUAUGAUGCUGGGGCUCGAGUACUGAGGACUUUGCAGUUGGGAAGAAGGGAGCUGGACCAGUCAGGAGGGGACGGAGGGCUUCCUGGAGGAGGCGGCACGCGAGCUGGAUUGUGUGAAUGAAGAUGAACGGAGAGUAUUUUGAAGGUCAUCUGGCUUGUGAUUUGAUAGAUCCAGGGGCUAAGGCUCCAUUUCUGGUUAGUCUGUGAAUGUGGGGUUUAUCCCCACCAAUCACCCUAACUUCUCUGGAUUUAAACCCACAGAGCUACCAGCCAUAUUCGGGAGACACUGGGUUCAAGCAAGUGAAUAUAGGUCAAAGAACUCGGAAGGGUUCAAGGAUGAUGGGACAAGAGAAGUGCAAUCCAUUAUCAUUAUCAUUAAUUAUAUUCCAGGUGUGGGGAAGUAUCUCUUGGCAUUCAGAUCCUAGGAAUUGUGUGUGUGUGUGUGUGUGUGUGUGUGUGUGUGUGUGUGUGUGUGUGUUUUUAGGGCCGUACCUGUGGCAUAUGGAGGUUCCCAGGCUAGGGGUUGAAUCGGAGCUGCAGCUGCCGGCCUUCGCUAGAGCCACAGGAAUGUGGGAUCCGAGUCAUGUCUGCAGCCCACACCACAGCUCACAGCAAUCUGGAUCCUUAACCCACUGACCGAGACCAGGGAUCAAACCUGCAUUCUCAUGGAUACUAGUUGGGUUCCUUAACCACUGAGUCACGACUCCAAGAUCCUAGGAAUUUUUGAACCUGGAAUCAGACGUGUGCUGGAUGGAUCAUCUGGAAGCAGGCAGAACAGCAAGGACAUUGGAAAAAGUUUGGCUUCACGAAUUUAUCUUCAAGUAUGCAAUCAAAUAAUAUAGAAAAAGGCUGUUUUCAUUUUAGUAUACAUCCAGAUUUUAUAUUUUAUGAUUUUGAUGUUGAUUCAUGUUUGUGGGAAUGGGCGCCAUACUCUUUGCAAAGCUUUGACCCUGGAAAGGAUAGGGCAAUAUUUAAAAUUUCUAGUGACUUCCCAUUCCCCGCCAAACAACCUUCUAGAAACAGCUCAACCUCACUUCAGCUCCCUUUUAUAGGCUGUGAUCAUUGGGAAUCUUCUGAAGUUGGAAAACCGUAGCCUAGCUACGGCAAUGAUUGGUACUGUUACAGUGUCCUUAAGACGUGUGCCAGGCGCAGAGGUUGAGGGCUUUCUCUGCCGUGUCCCCUUAAUCCCGCUGACAGCCCUACCCGGGCAGUUUGCGCAGGAGAGCCUUGAGGCUCAGAAAGAUAAAGUGACUUGGUCAAGGUCACCUUGGGAAUGACGGCUAGAAAUGGAAUUUAAACCCGGUCUGCCUCAUUCCACAGCUCUGGCCCUUGACCAUUCCUCAUGCCGCCUCCUAGAGGCUGGAACCAGAGGGGGCAGAGAGAGGUUCUCAUUCGCAGUCUGCACUUGACAGCGUUCUGUGACAUUAACACGGGACUUGAUUUACUUCCAGAUCCAUGUGGCCAGAUUCUUUGCUCAGGUUCCUGUCACAUACACAUGUGAUAUAAUCUCCUUAAAAGGAAAAGAGAGUUCUUUCAAAAGAUCCAGGAGAAUAUUUAAGCAUCUAUCAAGAAAUGUAGUCUUGCAAAAGUGUUCCUAAAUUAUUGACUUUAUCUUGCUUUGUGGCAUUUGUAACAUUGUUUAGUGCCUAUUGUAUACCAUGCACUCACUGUUCUAGGUCCCAGGGACAUGGGAAUGGGCAAGGCUUUUGGAUAACAAAUGCCUGGGUAAACAAGGAGACAAAUCCCUAAACCAACCAGGGUGACAAAUAGGGAUAAAGUUGAUGAAAGAAGCAAACAGGGCAGCACAACACGGUGACACAGGCAGGGCCGCUCUGGAGAGUUGGGUCAGGGAAACCUCUCUGGGGAGGUGGCUGCUGAGCUGAGAGCUGAAGGUUAGAAGGCUCCAUGCAUCUGGUCAACCAGAGAGCACCACAAAGGCCACCGUCCACAUGGGGAGGAGGGAGAGGCUCUGGACUAGGCUCUGGAGCCAGCCGUGGAGAGGAUGAGGGACCAGCAAGACCAAGAAAGAGCAGCCUGAGGGGAGGAGGACAAGCAGACGUAUCAGGGGCCAGGAAGCCAAGAGAACUGUUUUAAGAAGGAGGGUGUGGCAACUGUGCUUGAGAGACUGUCUCUCAGAUUCAGGAACGUGGAGGCCCCCGGUGACCUCGAGAAGACGAAUUGCAGUGGAAAGCUUGUCAGGCUGUGCAGCGGAGACAAGAGCUGGACUAGUGGGUCAGAGGAACCGUGGGAAGCGAAGUCAGUGCUUCCAAGAAGCUCUGCUAUGGAGGUCGGCAGAGAAAUGGGGCAGAAGCUGAAAGGGUGUUUGGGGUGCCCAGAAGCUGUUCUGGCGGGUCUCCCAUCCAACAAUCCUUUCUCUGCCCACGUUCCGUGCUGGGCUGUGGGAGGGUGACCCUCUUACCGCAUCCCCUGCAUUCUCCUGUUAGAAUGUGCCCGGGUGGGUUCAGCCCUGGGGAGGCAAAGGCAGGCGAGCCAAAGGCUGGAAGAAAGGGAGGUGUUCCCCCCCCCGCCCCGCCUCACUGCUUCCACACCUGGUCUCCAGGGAGGAGCUGUGACCUCUGUGCCCCCAAGUGCUUCCGGGCCACCUGCCCCCAUGGCUCUUGGAACAUUAUUUCUUCCCCUGGCCUAUUCCGAGCAAGAAUUUGCCACCCCUCCUGAGCUGGGGCUUGUCUCUGGGUGCCCAGCAUCCUUGUUUUGUCCCUUAAUUUUGUAAGUAGUCCUUCCUUUGAGGUUGGUUGCUUGAAUCAUCUGAGUGAAUUCUCUUUCCUGCUUGGACCCUAACUAACCAAUACAGGGUGUGCUUCCUCUGCCUGCUGGAGGGGAUAGAUCCAGACUCCAGGCAGAAGGCAGCUGGCCUUAGGCUGGUUGCAGGAGGAGAGGCAGGGAGCCCCGGCCCAGGGCAGGGGGGCUGGUAUUUGGUCUGAUGGCGUCUAGUUUCUUAAGGAAGGCUGAACCAAGUCCCUCAGCUGCAGAGUGCAGGGUAGUUUGUAGAGACAGAAGAACGUAUGGAACGGCUACCUCUGAGAAUAGGAAAAUGGACUUUCUAGGAAAGACUGGUAGGCCUGCCAGGCAUGGAGAGUGCCAAUUUGAGGUUUGUGGUCGUGAAUUUAAAGAGCAGCCGUGUGCUUUCCCCCAGCAUCCUUCAGCCGCUCUGGCACGGGCCUGGGGGCGGGUGCUCAGGAGGGCUGGGGCUUCGCCAGGUGUGGACAGAGAAGGGCCGUUUAUGGCGGGGUUACCUGGGGAGCCACAGUCACGUGGAACGUGGAGUCUGCACGGGGCAAGGAGGGAAAGGCGGCCAUGAGCGGUGAUAGUAGGAAGGUGAUAAUGGACCUGGAUGGGGGACUUGAUGAAGCACAUAGGAGGAGAGGAAGCGGGGCCCUCAGCGGAAGACUUGAAGUGAUGGGGAGAUGGUACAAGAAACCAUAAGCUGGGGGAGCACAUGGUGGGCCCCGAUAGCUCGAGAGGGGCAAGGAUUUGGACAUGGAGGAGGAUAAAUGGUUUGGAUAAUACGGUAACUGGGGGCAAGGUGGGUACCCAUGUCACCUCUUGGCCUCCCCUAGACCAGUUUCGCCAUGCGUCUCCCUGAACAGUCCCCUCCUGCCAGGGGGCCUGAAAAGCCAAUGACAGCUUUGGGGUCUCAGUUUUAAGGCUGAGAAGGCCAUUUGUCAACUUGGCUCCUUCUUGCAACCUGAUCCAGAGCUGGUUCUGACCACAUUGCGCUUGGGGUGGUGAUGGAACUACAAGCUCAGGGGGCGGGGGUAAAACACUUGCCCAAGCUUGUAGAGAGUCUGUUUGAAUCCACAAAGGCUGACUCUCCAGGCAGGGACACAGGCAGAGAAAGAACCAAAGAUAAGUGAUGCUGCAGAACCCUCUGGGAAUAUGGAAGUUAGAAAGAUUUCUUCUGUUGUGGGAGGGGGAGGCUAGAGCUAGAGCUGCAGGAUGAACAGAAAUGCGUGCGGAGGAGUUCCCGUCAUGGCUCAGUGGUAGUGACCCCAACUAGUAUCCAUGAGGAUGCAGGUUCGAUCCCUGGCCUCGCUCAGUGAGUUAAGGAUCUGGUGUUGCUGCGAGCUGUGGUGUAGGUCAUAGACGAGGCUCAGAUCCCGUGUUGCUGAGGCUGUGAUGUAGGCCUGCAGCUGUAGCUCCGAUUGGACCCCUAGCCUGGGAACUUCCACAUGCCUUGGGUGUGGCCCUCAAAAGACAAAAGACAAAAAAUAAAAAUAAAAAAGAAGGAAAUGCACGUGGGAGUUCCCAUCGUGGUUCAGCGGUUAACGAACUCGGCUAGUAUCCAUGAGGAUGUGGGUUCGAUUCCUGGCCUUGUUCAGUGGGUUAAGGAUCCAGCAUUGCCAUGAGCUGUGGUGUAGGUCGCAGAUGUGGCUUGGAUUUGGCCUUGCUGUGGCUGUGAUGUAGGCCAGUGGCUACAGCCUCAACUGGACCCCUAGCCUGGGGACCUCCACAUGCGACAGGGGCGGCCCUAAAAAAAAAAAGAAAAGAAAAA